This 253-nucleotide ribosomal RNA is filed under the name uncultured bacterium. RNAcentral's name for it is "partial 16S ribosomal RNA". It matches the Rfam family "Bacterial small subunit ribosomal RNA", at positions 524 to 776 of the family's 1533-position model. The record is from RNAcentral.
UACGUAGGGGGCAAGCGUUGUCCGGAAUCAUUGGGCGUAAAGCGCGUGUAGGCGGCUCGGAAAGUCUGGUGUGAAAUCUUGAGGCUCAACCUUAAGCUGUCACUGGAAACUAUCGGGCUUGAGUCCGGAAGAGGAGAGUGGAAUUCCAGGUGUAGCGGUGAAAUGCGUAGAUAUCUGGAGGAACACCGGUGGCGAAGGCGGCAUCCUGGACCAUGACUGACGCUGAGGAGCGAAAGCCAGGGGAGCAAACGGG